UACGUAGGCAGCGAGCGUUGUUCGGAGUUACUGGGCGUAAAGAGUGCGUAGGCGGUUCUCUAAGUUUGGUGUGAAAUCUCCCGGCUUAACCGGGAGGGUGCGCCGAAGACUGGGGAACUGGAGUAUGGGAGAGGUAAGCGGAAUUCCUGGUGUAGCGGUGAAAUGCGUAGAUAUCAGGAGGAACACCAGCGGUGUAGACGGCUUACUGGACCAUAACUGACGCUGAGGCACGAAAGCGUGGGUAGCAAACAGG
RNAcentral lists this ribosomal RNA (253 nucleotides) under uncultured bacterium. RNAcentral describes it as "partial 16S ribosomal RNA". It matches the Rfam family "Bacterial small subunit ribosomal RNA", at positions 524 to 776 of the family's 1533-position model. The record is from RNAcentral.